CAAUAGCGUAUAUUAAAGUUGUUGCAGUUAGAACGCUCGUAGUCGGAUUUCGGGGCGGGCCGACCGGUCUGCCGAUGGGUACGCACUGGUCGGCGCGUCCUUCCUUCCGGAGACCGUGCCUACUCUUAACUGAGCGGGGGCGGGAGACGGAUCGUUUACUUUGAAAAAAUCAGAGUGUUUCAAGCAGGCAGCUCGCUCUUGCAUGGAUUAGCAUGGGAUAAUGAAAUAGGACUUUGGUGCUAUUUUGUUGGUUUCGAACACCGAAGUAAUGAUGAGAAGGGACAGUCAGGGGCACUCGUAUUCCGCCGAGAGAGGUGAAAUUCUCAGACCAGCGGAAGACGAACCACUGCGAAAGCAUUUGCCAGGGAUGUUUUCACUGA
This 380-nucleotide ribosomal RNA is filed under the name uncultured eukaryote. RNAcentral describes it as "partial 18S ribosomal RNA". It matches the Rfam family "Eukaryotic small subunit ribosomal RNA", at positions 592 to 976 of the family's 1831-position model. The record is from RNAcentral.